AUGGAUUCAGUGCUGUCUAGGUUUGUGGUUCAAGAGCAUCUGGCGGAGCUCAGCAGCGUCAAUCUCUUUAGCAUGACUCUCUGGCCUGUAGUAGCCAGUAACUGGGUCUGGCACCCAUGAUGUUGUCUUCUUGCUUGAUUCUUCCCCACCUUUCUUCAUCAUAAUAUUAACCCCUGAUCCUCUCACUCCACCUGACACACUAGCUGAUGAUGCAGCCGCAUACCCACGCCUGCACAACAUUCAUUCAUAUACACAAACAUUAGUAGUCAACAUUUUUAACUCAGAAAGAAAGAAAGUCCCAUCAACAAAAUUAAUAAUUUAAUCAGAAAUCACAGAGCUUAUCUCCCCUGUUUUCCUCAAUGUUAACUACUUGCUCUUUGCAUCAUCAUACUUAUAUUUUAAACUUUCUUUUAUUAUCCAACCCUUAUAACCGGUUACACAAACUCAACAUAAACAUAAAACAAAGUUAAACCCGAACGGAGUGAAAUAUAUAGUGUAUAGACAUAAAUAAACCUGACUAGAGUAACAUAUAGUUAAAGAAAAUUCAACGACCUCGACUAAUUUGAGUUUCUUUUUGGAAAAAAAGGGGAAGAUGUUAGACGUUUCCAAACAAAAAGUUGGAAAAGCACGGUUAUAUU
This 638-nucleotide long non-coding RNA is filed under the name Nicotiana benthamiana. RNAcentral describes it as "long non-coding RNA (NBEN_LNC038527)". Lineage: Eukaryota; Viridiplantae; Streptophyta; Magnoliopsida; Solanales; Solanaceae. The record is from RNAcentral.